This 254-nucleotide ribosomal RNA is filed under the name uncultured bacterium. RNAcentral's name for it is "partial 16S ribosomal RNA". It matches the Rfam family "Bacterial small subunit ribosomal RNA", at positions 524 to 776 of the family's 1533-position model. The record is from RNAcentral.
CACGUAGGGGGCGAGCGUUGUCCGGAUUCAUUGGGCGUAAAGAGCUCGUAGGCGGCUCAGUAAGUCGGGUGUGAAACCCUCAGGCUCAACCUGGGGACGCCACUCGAUACUGCUGUGACUAGAGUGCGGUAGGGGAGCGGGGAAUUCCUGGUGUAGCGGUGAAAUGCGCAGAUAUCAGGAGGAACACCAGUGGCGAAGGCGCCGCUCUGGGCCGUGACUGACGCUGAGGAGCGAAAGCGUGGGUAGCAAACAGG